Molecule: long non-coding RNA, 482 nt
Organism: Corticium candelabrum
Lineage: Eukaryota; Metazoa; Porifera; Homoscleromorpha; Homosclerophorida; Plakinidae
Exons: 3
Source: RefSeq, a predicted model, not a curated record
AAGUCGCCUAGACGUGGACACCGCCUAGAGGUGGACAGUUGAAGUUUCACUUCUUACCACGGAACGAAUUGGUCAUCAACCGCGACACGGUUUGUUGUAGUAGCAAGCACUGCGUCGUACCUUCUCGGGACAGGACGCUCUUCCAGUUGACGCCACGUUUUCUUACUUUUUCCCGUAUGUUUAGAUAGUAGCCUCGAGUAUCCUGCCACUGCGAAAUCAUGACAAUCGUGCAGCGUUACAUAUUCAACGCAAGCAGUCACCGUUGUACGUUGGUUGCACAGCCUAUGCCUUACUCUACUGUACACCAUGCAGAUUUCUUUAUUCACCUCUGAGCAGCAGCUAGAAUCGAGCAACUUGUAAUCAAAAGUGGGCGGGCCUGGGAAGUUGCACACACAGGACUCAGAUCCAACACAAGGACAGAACACAAGAGACAGACGACUGCUGCCAUCUCAUGAAGAAAAUGGCAAAGGAAGGAAAGCUAC